UACGAAGGGGGCUAGCGUUGUUCGGAAUUACUGGGCGUAAAGCGUGCGCAGGCGGCUGCUCAAGUCAGGGGUGAAAGCCCAGAGCUCAACUCUGGAAUUGCCUUUGAGACCGAGUGGCUUGAGUACGGGAGAGGUGAGUGGAAUUCCCAGUGUAGAGGUGAAAUUCGUAGAUAUUGGGAAGAACACCGGUGGCGAAGGCGGCUCACUGGCCCGUAACUGACGCUCAUGCACGACAGCGUGGGGAUCAAACAGG
RNAcentral lists this ribosomal RNA (253 nucleotides) under uncultured bacterium. RNAcentral describes it as "partial 16S ribosomal RNA". It matches the Rfam family "Bacterial small subunit ribosomal RNA", at positions 524 to 776 of the family's 1533-position model. The record is from RNAcentral.